UACGUAGGGGGCAAGCGUUGUCCGGAUUUAUUGGGCGUAAAGAGCGUGUAGGCGGCCAGAUAGGUCAGCUGUGAAAACUCGAGGCUCAACCUCGAGGUGUCGGCUGAAACCAUCUGGCUAGAGUCCGGAAGAGGAGAAUGGAAUUCCCGGUGUAGCGGUGAAAUGCGCAGAUAUCGGGAAGAACACCCGUGGCGAAGGCGGUUCUCUGGGACGGUACUGACGCUGAGACGCGAAAGCGUGGGGAGCGAACAGG
This 253-nucleotide ribosomal RNA is filed under the name uncultured bacterium. RNAcentral describes it as "partial 16S ribosomal RNA". It matches the Rfam family "Bacterial small subunit ribosomal RNA", at positions 524 to 776 of the family's 1533-position model. The record is from RNAcentral.